GCGAGCAGCGUCGAAACCGGUCCACGGGACCGGUGAAGAGGGAACCCGGUGGGAAUCCGGGACUGUCCCGCAGCGGUGAACAGGAACGACCGCCGUCAUGAGCACUGGAUUCUUCCGGGAAGCGACGGCCAGUAGGUGAAUCCGGGGCCAAUUCUCCGGACCGGUCCCCGACCGAUGCCUGUGAGUCCGAAGACCUGCCGGUUGCGCCGGAUACGC
This 216-nucleotide non-coding RNA is filed under the name Nocardia nova. Lineage: Bacteria; Bacillati; Actinomycetota; Actinomycetes; Mycobacteriales; Nocardiaceae. RNAcentral also lists the same sequence under 1 other name. The record is from RNAcentral.